AUAAGAGCGCAUGGUGGAUGCCUUGGCUCUGAGAGGCGAUGAAGGACGUGGUAAGCUGCGAUAAGCUGCAGGGAUCGGCACACACGAUUUGAUCUGCAGAUUUCCGAAUGGGGCAACCUGCUAUAUUAAAGAUAUAGCAUCAUCUUUGUUGAUGAAGCAAACCCAGGGAACUGAAACAUCUAAGUACCUGGAGGAAGAGAAAACAAAAGUGAUUCCGCAAGUAGUGGCGAGCGAACGCGGAAAAGCCCAAACCAUCAAAGUUUCGGCCUUGAUGGGGUUGUAGGACUAUAAUAUGGAAUGAGAUUUUGUAGUAGAAUGAUCUGGAAAGAUCAAUCAUAGAAGGUGAAAAUCCUGUAUACGAAACAUAAUUUCUACCUAAUAGUAUCCUGAGUAGGGCGGGGCACGUGAAAUCCUGUCUGAAUCUGCCGGGACCAUCCGGUAAGGCUAAAUACUCCUCAGAGACCGAUAGCGAACCAGUACCGUGAGGGAAAGGUGAAAAGUACUUCGAGUAGAAGGGUGAAAUAGAACCUGAAACCAUGCGCUUACAAGCGGUCGGAGCCCUUUCGUGGGGUGACGGCGUGCCUUUUGCAUAAUGAACCUACGAGUUAAUCCCUCUGGCAAGGUUAAGCAGUUCAGCUGUGAAGUCGAAGCGAAAGCGAGUCUUAAUAGGGCGUACAGUCAGUGGGAUUAGACGCGAAACCGAGUGAUCUACCCAUGGGCAGGUUGAAGCUGUGGUAAUACACAGUGGAGGACCGAACCGGUUGACGUUGAAAAGUCUUCGGAUGACCUGUGGGUAGGGGUGAAAGGCUAAUCAAACUCGGAGAUAGCUCGUACUCCCCGAAAUGCAUUUAGGUGCAGCAUUGUGUUAAGUAUUAUAGAGGUAGAGCUACUGAUUGGAUGCGGGGGUUUCACCGCCUACCAAUUCCUGACAAACUCCGAAUGCUAUAAUAUGUUUCACAGUAGUGAGGGCAUGGGUGCUAAGGUCCAUGUCCGAGAGGGAAAGAACCCAGACCAACAGCUAAGGCCCCUAAGUAUAUGCUAAGUUGACCAAACGAGGUUCGGUUGCACAGACAGCUAGGAUGUUAGCUUGGAAGCAGCUAUUCAUUUAAAGAGUGCGUAACAGCUCACUAGUCGAGCGACCGAGCGUGGAUAAUAAUCGGGCAUAAGCUAUAUCGCCGAAGCUAUGGGAUCGAAAGGUCGGUAGGGGAGCAUUGUAAAUGAUGUAGAAGCCGUUUUGUGAAGAGCGGUGGAGUUUUUACAAAAGAAAAUGUAGGUAUAAGUAACGAUAAUGCGGAUGAGAAAUCCGCACACCGAAAGACCAAGGUUUCCUCAGCUAUGUUAAUCAGCUGAGGGUUAGUCGGGACCUAAGGCGAAACCGAAAGGUAUAGUCGAUGGACAAGCGGUUAAUAUUCCGCUACUUGCUUUUAUUGCGAUGGGGUGACGAAGUAAUGAAAUCGUCGCGUGCGGACGGAAGUGCACGUUGAAGUAAUCGGGUAUAAUGUAUAUAGGUAAAUCCGUAUGUAUUGCUCAGUUACGAUAGUACCACAAGCCUUUGGGUGCGUGGAUAGUACGACUAAAGACUUCCAAGAAAAACCUCUAAGCUUCAGAUAUAAGCAACUCGUACCAAAACCGACACAGGUGGUCGAGGAGAGAAUCCUAAGGUGCUCGAGUGAAUCACGGCUAAGGAACUAGGCAAAAUCGACCUGUAACUUCGGGAGAAAGGUCGCCUUCCAAAAGGAAGGCUGCAGUAAAGAGAUCCAGGCGACUGUUUAUCAAAAACACAGGACUCUGCUAAAUCGAAAGAUGAUGUAUAGGGUCUGACACCUGCCCGGUGCUGGAAGGUUAAGGAAGAGAGUCAGCUUUCGAGCGAAGCUCUUGACUGAAGCCCCAGUAAACGGCGGCCGUAACUAUAACGGUCCUAAGGUAGCGAAAUUCCUUGUCGGGUAAGUUCCGACCUGCACGAAUGGUGUAACGAUCUGGAUACUGUCUCGGCCGUGAGCUCGGUGAAAUUGUAGUAUCGGUGAAGAUGCCGAUUACUCGCAAUGGGACGAAAAGACCCUGUGAACCUUUACUAUAGCUUCGUAUUGACUUUGGAUAAACAAUGUGUAGGAUAGGUGGGAGCCUUUGAAGCAUCAUCGCCAGGUGAUGUGGAGUCGUCCUUGAAAUACCACCCUUUGUUUGUCUGAAGCCUAACUCGGUAACGAGAACAGUGCGUGGUGGGUAGUUUGACUGGGGUGGUCGCCUCCAAAAAAGUAACGGAGGCUUUCAAAGGUACCCUCAGCACGCUUGGUAACCGUGCAUAGAGUGUAAUAGCAUAAGGGUGCUUGACUGUGAGACCCACAAGUCGAUCAGGUACGAAAGUAGGAUAUAGUGAUCCGGUGGUUCCGGAUGGAAGGGCCAUCGCUCAAAGGAUAAAAGGUACUCCGGGGAUAACAGGCUAGUCUCCCCCAAGAGCUCAUAUCGACGGGGAGGUUCGGCACCUCGAUGUCGGCUCGUCACAUCCUGGGGCUGGAGAAGGUCCCAAGGGUUGGGCUGUUCGCCCAUUAAAGUGGCACGCGAGCUGGGUUCAGAACGUCGUGAGACAGUUCGGUUUCUAUCUAUUGCGAGCGUUAGAAGCUUGAGUGGAGCUAACUCUAGUACGAGAGGACCGAGUUGGAUGAACCUCUGGUGUAUCAGUUGUGUUGCCAAGUGCAUCGCUGAGUAGCUAUGUUCGGAUGAGAUAAGCACUGAAAGCAUAUAAGUGCGAAGCUCACCACAAGAUGAGGCUUCUUUAUAAGAGACGUUGAAGAUCACGACGUUGAUAGGCUAUAGGUGUAAAGACAGUAAUGUCAUAGCCAAGUAGUACUAAUCUCUCAUAAGUUUCUGCU
This 2867-nucleotide ribosomal RNA is filed under the name Bacteroidetes bacterium endosymbiont of Geopemphigus sp. RNAcentral's name for it is "bacterial LSU rRNA". It matches the Rfam family "Bacterial large subunit ribosomal RNA". The record is from RNAcentral. Lineage: Bacteria; Pseudomonadati; Bacteroidota.